GGAGCCUGCGGUUUAAUUGGAUUCAACCCCCGGCAUUUCACCGGGGGCGACGGCAGAGUGAAGGCCAGGCUGACGACCUUGCUUGACUCGCCGAGAGGUGGUGCAUGGCCGCCGUCAGCUCGUAUCGUGAGACGUCCUGUCAAGUCAGGUAACGAGCGAGACACUCGCCUCUAGUUGCCAUCGGAUUCCUUUGGAAUGCCGGGCACUCUAGGGGGACCGCUGGCGAUAAGCCAGAGGAAGGAGAGGGCGACGGUAGGUCCGUAUGCCCCGAAUCCCCCGGGCAACACGCGGGCUACAAUGCGCAGGACAGAGGGCUGCGACCCCGAAAGGGGAAGCCAAUCCCUAAACCUGCGCCUAGUUCGGAUCGAGGACUGAAACCCGUCCUCGUGAAGCUGGAAUCCCUAGUAACUGCGUGUCAUUAUCGCGCGGUGAAUACGUCCCUGCUCCUUGCACACACCGCCCGUCAAGCCAUCCGAGUGGGAUUUGGAUGAGGCUUGUUCGUUCUUCGAGCGGGUCAAAUCCGGGUUCCGCAAGGAGGGCUAAGUCGUAACAAGGUAACC
RNAcentral lists this ribosomal RNA (560 nucleotides) under uncultured candidate division MSBL1 archaeon. Its description in RNAcentral is "bacterial SSU rRNA". It matches the Rfam family "Archaeal small subunit ribosomal RNA", at positions 890 to 1448 of the family's 1478-position model. Lineage: Archaea; Methanobacteriati; Methanobacteriota. The record is from RNAcentral.